RNAcentral lists this small RNA (29 nucleotides) under Bombyx mori (domestic silkworm). RNAcentral's name for it is "ovarian small RNA-33043". Lineage: Eukaryota; Metazoa; Arthropoda; Insecta; Lepidoptera; Bombycidae. The record is from RNAcentral.
UGAUUCAAGUGCUGCCUCUCCUCCCGUAU